AUUGAACGCUGGCGGCAGGCCUAACACAUGCAAGUCGAGCGGAGCGGCGGACGGGUGAGUAAUGCCUAGGAAUCUGCCUGGUAGUGCGGGCUAACUUCCGGAAACGGGCGCUAAUACCGCAUACUAUCAGAUGAGCCUAGGUCGGAUUAGCUAGUUGGUUGGGUAAAGGCCUACCAGGGCGACGAUCCGUAACUGGUCUGAGAGGAUGAUCAGUCACACUGGAACUGAGACACGGUGCAGACGCCUACGGGAGGCAGCAGUGGGGAAUAUUGGAAAAUGGGAGAAAGCCUGAUCUAGCCAUGCCGCGUGUGGGAAGAAGGUCUUCGGAUUGUAAAGCACUUUAAGUUGGGAGGCGUUACCAACAGAAUAAGCACCGGCUAACUUCGUGCCAGCAGCCGCGGUAAUUC
RNAcentral lists this ribosomal RNA (407 nucleotides) under uncultured bacterium. Its description in RNAcentral is "partial 16S ribosomal RNA". It matches the Rfam family "Bacterial small subunit ribosomal RNA", at positions 30 to 526 of the family's 1533-position model. The record is from RNAcentral.